GACGAACGCUGGCGGCGUGCCUAAUACAUGCCAGUUGAGCGCUGAAGGUUGGUACUUGUACCAACUGGAUGAGCAGCGAACGGGUGAGUAACGCGUGGGGAAUCUGCCUUUGAGCGGGGGACAACAUUUGGAAACGAAUGCUAAUACCGCAUAAAAACUUUAAACACAAGUUUUAAGUUUGAAAGAUGCAAUUUCAUCAUUCAAAGAUGAUCCCGCGUUGUAUUAGCUAGUUGGUGAGGUAAAGGCUCACCAAGGCGAUGAUACAUAGCCGACCUGAGAGGGUGAGCGGCCACAUUGGGACGGAGACAGGGCCCAAACUCCUUCGGGAGGCAGCAGUAGGGAAUCUUCGGCAAUGGGCGAAAGUCUGACCGAGCAACGCCGCGUGAGUGAAGAAGGUUUUCGGAUCGUAAAACUCUGUUGGUAGAGAAGAACGUUGGUGAGAGUGGAAAGCUCAUCAAGUGACGGUAACUACCCAGAAAGGGACGGCUAACUACGUG
RNAcentral lists this ribosomal RNA (497 nucleotides) under uncultured bacterium. RNAcentral describes it as "partial 16S ribosomal RNA". It matches the Rfam family "Bacterial small subunit ribosomal RNA", at positions 28 to 507 of the family's 1533-position model. The record is from RNAcentral.